UUGUACAGUAUUAUCGAACGAGGAUGAGCUCUGUUUCUGAGGGCCAAUAAACUAUCAGGAAAAACAGCUUCGAGUGAUGCAGCGUUGCUGAGUAUCAGGUCCUUGGCAGAUAUAAACAAGUCUUCUUUUAUGACCUACAUAUGAAGGAUGCCCGUCAUCCGUUGGCACUGGACAUACGUUGAUGUUGCUGUAAGGCAUUAAAAACUGCAUAUGUUUGAGAGAGUGGAAAAAGGUGGUUCCCGAGCAGAGAUGCCACACAUAAAAACUUCUCUAUCUUAAAAUACUUCCUACAUUGGUUCCAUAUUCUGAAGAAUAGCUGUGGGGAUGUUUUUCAGCGGCUGGAACU
This is a long non-coding RNA of Polypterus senegalus (gray bichir), 346 nucleotides long. RefSeq lists it as uncharacterized. The transcript is spliced from 4 exons. NCBI's taxonomy places the organism in Eukaryota, Metazoa, Chordata, Cladistia, Polypteriformes, Polypteridae. The record is from RefSeq and is a predicted model, not a curated record.